UACGUAGGGGGCGAGCGUUGUCCGGAUUUAUUGGGCGUAAAGCGCGUGUAGGCGGUCCGGUAAGUCCGCUGUGAAAGUCGAGGGCUCAACCCUCGAAUGCCGGUGGAUACUGUCGGGCUUGAGUACGGGAGAGGCGAGUGGAAUUCCUGGUGUAGCGGUGAAAUGCGCAGAUAUCAGGAGGAACACCGAUUGCGAAGGCAGCUCGCUGGAACGUUACUGACGCUGAGACGCGAAAGCGUGGGGAGCAAACAGG
Molecule: ribosomal RNA, 253 nt
Filed under: uncultured bacterium
Lineage: Bacteria
Description: partial 16S ribosomal RNA
Rfam family: Bacterial small subunit ribosomal RNA
Source: RNAcentral